GAUUGUUCCGGUAGCCGUGUGAUUAGAGCGUCCGCCUCGGAUGCGGGAGGUAGUGGGUUCGAUCCCCGGCUGAGUCA
Non-coding RNA from Potamilus streckersoni, 77 nucleotides. Lineage: Eukaryota; Metazoa; Mollusca; Bivalvia; Unionida; Unionidae. The record is from the annotation of a GenBank genome assembly.